GCUGCACAGUGUUCAAUGAAAAUAAGUGGCUGAAUAGAAAUAUCGUAGUCUCAAAACCCCAUUAAAAAAACUGUACAUUGUUUGUGGUUCGCAGAAGACACGCUUGUAGACUCGUGCUUUCGGUCAACGAAAUCAGUUAAGCGAUUAUAAGUCUUGUUGUAUUUGGAUAAGGUUUAAAAUUAAUGAAUGACUGUUUGUAAUAAGCUAAGCCGGACUUUUCGAAGUUUUAUCAAUGUUUCAUCUUUUUCUCGUGCCGUUAGAGUGAAUGGGAUAGACAAUGGCUUUACACUGACUCGGCCAGUCCGGUGAUAGCAAUAGAUUUAAUAAUUGAUUGCCUUCUAAAAAUCAAAUUAUCAUCUUAUGCGACAAUAUUUUUAUUUAUAUCUACUCAAGCACAUCAUACUAGUGAUUUUCAAGCUUAGUUUUUCUAUCAUGUAUAGUUUAAAGAGCCAAAUACGUUAAGGCAAGUUCCUGCGGGAAAAGGACAGUCGAUCACAGCUCACUUUGUUCCAAAUGUUUUUUAUGCAACUUUUUAAAACGGUGAAUGGUAUUCGCCUUGCUAAGAUUUCGUAAAAAUCAUUUACGAAACGGCAUCCGAAGACGCUAACUAAUUGAAGCUUGCAAAACUCUAGUGUGAAAUCAAACUGUUCAAAAACCUUGUCAAUUUCAUUUUGAACAUUAUGCAACAAAAUGGCAAUUUAUUUCACACCGUCACUGUAAUUGUUUUGAGAACAAGUUCGCGUCACGGAAAUUUAAAAAAUUACGAGAAAAUCAGGGCAACUAUUCCCACCGCUUGCCGCGCAUUCAUCUAUGACCAUUAUAAGUAUGAUUUCUAAGUAUAGUUCUUACAUGAUUUAUAGUUUCUACAGACGGCCGCACCGGACCGCGACCUUGGUGCGGUCUGGCGCACGUUCGAUCGUGUGUAAGGUUGUGUGCCGUACGUCCGUUAAGGACGCAGUUUAUAAGUGAGAGCAAAAAUGAGAUAUUUUGACCGCACCAAGGUCGCGGUCAAAAUAUACGCCCCUCUGUUACGGCUAUUAUAUUGGUUAUCUCGGUAAGCGUUCGGAAUAUGCCCGGCUAGGAGGCAUAUUUAAAAGUAUUUUUCUACUUGAUCGUUUAGGGACGCUGUGUAGAUAUUUUUGGACCAUUGUUGCGAUAUGAUCAGUAUUGGAUAGUGUUAGAUGGUUGGAAGUGAUUUGUCGAGAUUAGUAAACGCUUUGUAUAGACAUAACGCACCCUAUAAACAUUUGAACAUCUGUCUAUUCCUCGAAUAAAAAAAUAAUAAUUUUGAAGCAUUUAUUCUCUAGAACACAGCGUACGCUGUGACAAUAAACAGCAAAAAAUGUGAGAGAUCAAAGUUUUUUUUCAGAUCAGGUUUUACCUUUUCUACAUGGAAACAAUCGUCUCUUCUCGUUCUAGCUCGUAAGAGUGAACAGGACGAAUAUUUUUCUGCCAGAAAAUGUGUUAAAUUAUUCUAGGAAUAGACAGGCACGGUCUUAAGUGUUCUUGUGACCAUUGUAAUGGGCAAAGUAUUUAUGAAUGGUGCAUUUCAUUAUGUGUAACGCAUAGUCCUUAGCUGUACUUCCAUACAAGGUUUAAUCUUAGGUCCACCUCACACUAGCGUCUUUUGAGCGUCGGCGUUUAGUCAGCGCUAUGAAAAAUGGCGUCGCUGUACAGUUGCGCCAACGUUGCGUCGAGCAGCAGCCAUAGAGUUAACUAGACGCCGACGCUCGGGACACUAUAGUUUGGGGUGGCCCUUAAUAUAAAGUGGGUCUGUGAGCUUUAGGCCCCAUUCGCACGACAGCUUAAAAAGCGUUGCGUUAAAACCCGACGUUGGCGCUUUUUUACCGUUUCUAAUAUUUGUGUUCAUAUGAACGCUUAAAAAUCACUUGUGAGUCGUACUGCCACGUACGCAUCUCAGCAAAGCCAUACUUUAUUUGCUAUUACGACGUAUUAUUUAAAUAUAGCUUGAAUAUUCCAGGAAUUAGUAAGCAUAAGUUGACAUUUUUAAGGUGAAACUAAUAAUAAUUUUGACCAUUAACAUCAAAAAUGGACACUUGACAGCCAACUGACAGCAGCGCCGGCGCUUUUUUAACGCUUGUGAGAACAGAUAUGAUCAAUUCAAUUAACGGCCAACGCUCAACGCCGAAAAUCGAACAGUGCUCGAUAAAAAGGCCCCGCGCUUUAAAACCGCCUUCGUGUGAAUACAUACAUGGUUAUCCAUUUGUGUCAUUCAAACGCUUUUUUAACGCGCGUCGAAAAAGCUGCCGUGCGAACGGGGCCUUAAAGUUCGCGAACUCAUGUCGCCAGUCGCCGCCAUUUUGAAAAAAAUAGUAUAAAAACUGAAUCUACAAAAAACUGCUCAAAUAAUUUAACAAGAAUCGAUUAAGAAUUGCGACCUAUAGAGGGAGAACAGCAGGACAGACAGUAUUUUUGCCCAUGCUGAAACAGAGACGCUUGGGGUUAAAAGUUUUUAUCUUCUACGAGGACGAACUCACGGGCAAAGGCAUAUUUUAACACAUUCACUGCCAGCGACCCGCCAAGCGGGUUCUCUGUUCAUAGGCGCUUUUCGCUACAUACGGUUUUUCCCGUGUAGGCUACGCUGGUAGCGCGUAGCUCGUGCUGGGACGGAAUGUGUUGAGGUAUAAUUAAUUUGGUGUCCAUUAAGUUUUGCAGCAAUGGCUACUUUUCUACAAAAAUAGAUUCCAAUAAUGUACAGUGGCAAUCAUUGUAUAGAUUACCAGAGGAAAUAAAAUAAUGUUAAAAUUACCAAUGAAAGGACUCAUAUAUGUCUAUAUGACAGAUAUCGUCAAUUUAUUUUCUACCUUAUACCUAACAUGUUUAGAUAGAUUUUCGCGUGUACAUUUGUAUGGAAGUACAGUUAGCCACACAAGUAAUCCGUUAGGUACAGAACCGCUUCAUAUUUUUGUAUUCCCUUAGUGUAAAGGAGUUUGGUGUCUUCUAAAGGUGUACGCAACAUGCUAUAGAUGAAUAUUUCAUAAAUAUUUGGUUGAAAUAAUAAGUGCGUAAUAAAACACUUUUUCGUAACAAAA
Long non-coding RNA from Cydia splendana, 3053 nucleotides. RefSeq lists it as uncharacterized. The record is from RefSeq and is a predicted model, not a curated record. Lineage: Eukaryota; Metazoa; Arthropoda; Insecta; Lepidoptera; Tortricidae. The transcript is spliced from 2 exons.